UUUUAAAGGCAUGGAAGAGAUAGGUGUGAUUGAAGAUUUGUGGGAUAAAUUUAAGAAAGGGAUCGUGAAUGUUGCUCUUGAGGUAUGCGGGGUAGCUAAAAGAAGGAAAGGAAGAAAGAACUAUAAUGUGUGGAUGGUUAAAGAUGAAAGAGAAGAAAGCUUGGUUGGAUUGGUUAGCGACAAAAGCUAACCAAAAAGUUCAAAAGGCAACGGAUGACGAGAUAAAGGAAGCAAGAACGAAGUAUAAAAGAUUGAAAUUAGCGGCGAAAGAAGUUGUGUCUAGAAAGAAAGAAGAACAAACGUGAUGGUGUUUGAAAGAGAUGAGGCAGUGGCAGACUGCAAUAUCGUGAUUGGAGAUGAACGAAUUGAACAGGUAAAUGAGU
RNAcentral lists this unclassified non-coding RNA (383 nucleotides) under Melitaea cinxia (Glanville fritillary). Its description in RNAcentral is "misc RNA ENSMCXG00005006315.1". The record is from RNAcentral. Lineage: Eukaryota; Metazoa; Arthropoda; Insecta; Lepidoptera; Nymphalidae.